CAUGAGGCAGGGGCGGGCAGGGGUGGCAUGGGGGCACACACCCAAGGUCAGCCUGUGUCUCCCAACCACAGUCGGUCCUGACCGCCAGCCUGUCGUACAUGGUGGGGAUGAUCGCCAGCUUCUACAACACCGAGGCAGUCAUCAUGGCCGUGGGCAUCACCACAGCCGUCUGCUUCACCGUCGUCAUCUUCUCCAUGCAGACCCGCUACGACUUCACCUCAUGCAUGGGCGUGCUCCUGGUGAGCAUGGUGGUGCUCUUCAUCUUCGCCAUUCUCUGCAUCUUCAUCCGGAACCGCAUCCUGGAGAUCGUGUACGCCUCACUGGGCGCUCUGCUCUUCACCUGCUUCCUCGCAGUGGACACCCAGCUGCUGCUGGGGAACAAGCAGCUGUCCCUGAGCCCAGAAGAGUAUGUGUUUGCUGCGCUGAACCUGUACACAGACAUCAUCAACAUCUUCCUGUACAUCCUCACCAUCAUUGGCCGCGCCAAGGAGUAGCCGAGCUCCAGCUCGCUGUGCCCGCUCAGGUGGCACGGCUGGCCUGGACCCUGCCCCUGGCACGGCAGUGCCAGCUGUACUUCCCCUCUCUCUUGUCCCCAGGCACAGCCUGGGGAAAAGGAUGCCUCUCUCC
Molecule: small RNA, 627 nt
Filed under: Pan troglodytes (chimpanzee)
Lineage: Eukaryota; Metazoa; Chordata; Mammalia; Primates; Hominidae
Description: retained intron
Source: RNAcentral